AGCUCUAUGAGCUCCUUUAGAACAAUGAAUUUAAGUUCUUUAAUGGGAAAAUCACAAGUCUCCAUUUUCUUAAGACUUGCAGAAUAGAACUUGCUUUGUGUAUGUGCUGGCUAGCCAUCUGCAAAGACUGGCUCUUGCCACCAUCAGGAGAAUGCACAGGGAGCUGGCUAUGAUGUGGAGCUCUCCAUGAAGUCUUGAUGACCUGAAUACAUCCCCGAGUCCAUUUCUACAACUGACCUUCAUAGUUUUCCCUCCUUUGAUACAAUAAACUCCUCAACAGAUCUACAUAAGCUUCUCAUAGUGAAAAAGCCAUAAAUAAACACAAGACCCUUUAUAAAUCUGAUAUUGCUAACAUUAAAUUUGUAUUUUUCAUAUCAAACCUAAAACAUACAGUCUGGACAAUACUUAGGAUAUAGUCUGUCUUUCUUAUUUCAGGGUGUUAGCUUUAGCUCUUUUGCCUCUUUCAAAGUCCUCCCUUCUUCCCCAAAAAGGUUCAAAUUCUAACAACUCUGGUAUUGAAAUUUGCCUGUAAACACUUCCUUAAUCUCUCAGACCUGAAGUCAUUAUUCACUGGCUUUUAUUGUUUGUAGAAUAUGUUAGAACAUUUCUUUUGCUAGCUCUCUUGACCCAGUAUUAUCUUUCAUACUGAUUAGCUUUAUGUUCAUUAACAAUGUCAUUUAUCCCCAACAAGAAUUUUAACUCCUUGAGAACAAGAACUGUUCAUUGUACUUCUAGAUGAUCCCACUGUCAGCUGCUUUCACUGAGGAGGCCCUCCAGAAAUGAGUGCUUGCAUUUUAUUUUUAAACAUAUGCUUCCUACAUUUUGCAAAGGAAAGGAAAUUGGGAUGGCAUUUCUUUAACUAUUUCCACAUCUUUUACUCUGAAUAUAUUUUAAAAUUUAAGAUAUAUUAUUUUUUUAAAUGAAAAGUUAACAGAGCAUAUUUGUUAUGGGGGUGGUGGUGAUAAUGGUGGUACAUGGCAAAUCUACAAGUUAGGAAUAAUUAUCAUCAAUGUUCAAUGAGCACUUCCUAUGUAUCGUGCUGUAGUAUACUACAAAGUAAUACAUUUGGUCUUUGUCCCCAGUUCCUGAUGCAGAGCUUCAAAACCCUUGUUUUGAAGGGUUUUCUCAGUGCAAAGAGUAUGUUUUGUUAUUAACAAUGAACUUCUUUUCACCAUAUCUGAAUUUAUGCUAAUGAAAUGAUUUAAGACAGAGCCCUUUGCUGAUGGCUGGAAAAAAAGUUGAAAAUUUCAGCCCCAUCCCUCAAACACUGAGGAGAGAAGAGAGUUCAAUCAUGUGGCUAAUUCUUUAAUCAAAAAAUACCUACACAACACAGUGGUCAGAGUGGGACCAUCUAGAUUACAACUCCUCAGAUCCAUAAGGGACACGCUC
Long non-coding RNA from Myotis myotis, 1389 nucleotides. RefSeq lists it as uncharacterized. The transcript has 3 exons. The record is from RefSeq and is a predicted model, not a curated record. Lineage: Eukaryota; Metazoa; Chordata; Mammalia; Chiroptera; Vespertilionidae.